CACCACUGAUCCUACUGUAGGAGGUUCUGGUACCAUCCUACUACAUACACCACUGAUCCUACUGUAGAGGUUCUGGUACCAUCCUACUACAUACACCACUGAUCCUACUGUAGAGGUUCUGGUACCAUCCUGUUACACUACAUACACCACUGAUCCUACUGUAGGAGGUUCUGGUACCAUCCUACUACAUACACCACUGAUCCUACUGUAGAGGUUCUGGUACCAUCCUGUUACACUACAUACACCACUGAUCCUACUGUAGAGGUUCUGGUACCAUCCUGUUACACUACAUACACCACUGAUCCUACUGUAGAGGUUCUGGUACCAUCCUACUACACUACAUACAUCACUGAUCUACUGUAAUCCGUAGAGGGUUGACAGUCUACUGUAAUCCGUAGAGGGUUGACAGUCUACUGUAAUCCGUAGAGGGUUGACGGUCUACUGUAAUCCGUAGAGGGUUGACGGUCUACUGUAAUCCGUAGAGGGUUGAC
Molecule: long non-coding RNA, 491 nt
Organism: Oncorhynchus tshawytscha (Chinook salmon)
Lineage: Eukaryota; Metazoa; Chordata; Actinopteri; Salmoniformes; Salmonidae
Source: Ensembl